UACGUAGGGCGCAAGCGUUAUCUGGAAUUAUUGGGCGUAAAGAGCUCGUAGGCGGUUUGUCGCGUCUGCCGUGAAAGUCCGGGGCUUAACUCCGGAUCUGCGGUGGGUACGGGCAGACUAGAGUGCAGUAGGGGAGACUGGAAUUCCUGGUGUAGCGGUGAAAUGCGCAGAUAUCAGGAGGAACACCGAUGGCGAAGGCAGGUCUCUGGGCUGUAACUGACGCUGAGGAGCGAAAGCAUGGGGAGCGAACAGG
This 253-nucleotide ribosomal RNA is filed under the name uncultured bacterium. Its description in RNAcentral is "partial 16S ribosomal RNA". It matches the Rfam family "Bacterial small subunit ribosomal RNA", at positions 524 to 776 of the family's 1533-position model. The record is from RNAcentral.